RNAcentral lists this ribosomal RNA (253 nucleotides) under uncultured bacterium. RNAcentral's name for it is "partial 16S ribosomal RNA". It matches the Rfam family "Bacterial small subunit ribosomal RNA", at positions 524 to 776 of the family's 1533-position model. The record is from RNAcentral.
UACAGAGGUCUCAAGCGUUGUUCGGAUUCAUUGGGCGUAAAGGGUGCGUAGGUGGCGGUGUAAGUCAGGUGUGAAAUCUCGGGGCUCAACCCCGAAACUGCACUUGAUACUGCCUUGCUCGAGUACUGGAGAGGAGAUUGGAAUUUACGGUGUAGCAGUGAAAUGCGUAGAUAUCGUAAGGAAGACCAGUGGCGAAGGCGAAUCUCUGGACAGUUACUGACACUGAGGCACGAAGGCCAGGGGAGCAAACAGG